Molecule: small nuclear RNA, 108 nt
Organism: Echinops telfairi (small Madagascar hedgehog)
Lineage: Eukaryota; Metazoa; Chordata; Mammalia; Afrosoricida; Tenrecidae
Source: RefSeq, a predicted model, not a curated record
AUGCUCACAUCAGCAGCACAUAUACUAAAAUUGGAACCAUAAAGAGAAGAUUAGCACAGCCUUUGCUCAAGGAUGACACUCCACAGAGCAGAAAGUCUCACCUUGCUU